Molecule: long non-coding RNA, 711 nt
Filed under: Numida meleagris (helmeted guineafowl)
Lineage: Eukaryota; Metazoa; Chordata; Aves; Galliformes; Numididae
Description: lncRNA (ENSNMEG00000002445.1)
Source: RNAcentral
UGAGGGGAUGGGGACACCAGGGGAGGGGGACAUUGAGGGAACAGGGACACUACAGGGAUGUCACCAAGGGGGACAGCAUGGGGAUGGGGACACCGAGGGGGAUGUCACCAAGGGGAUGGGGACACUGAGGGGAUGGGGACACCCAGGGGACACCCAUAGGGGACACCCAUAGGUGACACCCAUAGGGAACACUGGGGACACCCAUAGGGCACAGGGGGGGACACCCAUAGGGGACACCCAUAGGUGACAAUGGGGACACCAACAGGGAGCACCCAUAGGUGACACCCAUAGAGGACAGUGGGGACACCCAUAGGGGACACUGGGGACACCCAUAGGGGACAGUGGGGACACCCAUAGGGGACAGGGGGGGACGCCCAGGGGACACCCAUAGGUGACACCCAUAGGUGACAAUGGGGACACCAACAGGGAGCACCCAUAAGUGACGCCCAUAGGGGACAGGGGGGACACCCAUAGGGGACACCCAUAGGAGACACUGGGGACACCCAUAGGUGGCAUCCAGAGGUGACACCCAUAGGGGACGGGGGGGGACACCCAGGGGACACCCAUAGGUGACAUGGGGACACCCGUAGGGGACACUGGGGACACCCAUGGGUGCCACCCUUGGGUGCCGCGGUGGCACUCACUGCUCGGAGGCCAGGAUCAUCUUGGCCAGCAUGGGCUCCACCGGCAGCUCCGCCAUGCGCCGCCCCA